GAUGAACGCUGGCGGCGUGCCUAAUACAUGCAAGUCGAGCGAACGGACGAGAAGCUUGCUUCUCUGAUGUUAGCGGCGGACGGGUGAGUAACACGUGGAUAACCUACCUAUAAGACUGGGAUAACUUCGGGAAACCGGAGCUAAUACCGGAUAAUAUUUUGAACCGCAUGGUUCAAAAGUGAAAGACGGUCUUGCUGUCACUUAUAGAUGGACCCGCGCUGCAUUAGCUAGUUGGUAAGGUAACGGCUUACCAAGGCAACGAUGCAUAGCCGACCUGAGAGGGUGAUCGGCCACACUGGAACUGAGACACGGUCCAGACUCCUACGGGAGGCAGCGGUAGGGAAUCUUCCGCAAUGGGCGAAAGCCUGACGGAGCAACGCCGCGUGAGUGAUGAAGGUCUUCGGAUCGUAAAACUCUGUUAUUAGGGAAGAACAUAUGUGUAAGUAACUGUGCACAUCUUGACGGUACCUAAUCAGAAAGCCACGGCUAACUACGUG
Molecule: ribosomal RNA, 497 nt
Filed under: uncultured bacterium
Lineage: Bacteria
Description: partial 16S ribosomal RNA
Rfam family: Bacterial small subunit ribosomal RNA
Source: RNAcentral